GUAGGGUGCGAGCGUUAAUCGGAAUUACUGGGCGUAAAGCGUGCGCAGGCGGUUACUUAAGUCAGGUGUGAAAGCCCUGGGCUUAACCUAGGAAUUGCGCUUGAGACUGGGUAGCUUUGAGUGUGGCAGAGGGAGGUGGAAUUCCACGUGUAGCAGUGAAAUGCGUAGAGAUGUGGAGGAACACCGAUGGCGAAGGCAGCCUCCUGGGCCAGCACUGACGCUCAUGCACGAAAGCGUGGGGAGCAAACAGGAUUAGAUACCCUGGUAGUCCACGCCCUAAACGAUGUCAACUGGUUGUUGGUGGGGUUAAACCCAUUAGUAACGAAGCUAACGCGUGAAGUUGACCGCCUGGGGAGUACGGCCGCAAGGUUA
RNAcentral lists this ribosomal RNA (372 nucleotides) under uncultured bacterium. RNAcentral's name for it is "bacterial SSU rRNA". It matches the Rfam family "Bacterial small subunit ribosomal RNA", at positions 527 to 896 of the family's 1533-position model. The record is from RNAcentral.